RNAcentral lists this ribosomal RNA (1487 nucleotides) under uncultured bacterium. RNAcentral describes it as "16S ribosomal RNA". It matches the Rfam family "Bacterial small subunit ribosomal RNA". The record is from RNAcentral.
AGAGUUUGAUCCUGGCUCAGGAUGAACGCUAGCGACAGGCUUAACACAUGCAAGUCGAGGGGCAGCACAGGUAGCAAUACCGGGUGGCGACCGGCGCACGGGUGAGUAACGCGUAUGCAACUUACCUAUCAGAGGGGGAUAACCCGGCGAAAGUCGGACUAAUACCGCAUGAAGCAGGGGCCCCGCAUGGGGAUAUUUGCUAAAGAUUCAUCGCUGAUAGAUAGGCAUGCGUUCCAUUAGGCAGUUGGCGGGGUAACGGCCCACCAAACCGACGAUGGAUAGGGGUUCUGAGAGGAAGGUCCCCCACAUUGGUACUGAGACACGGACCAAACUCCUACGGGAGGCAGCAGUGAGGAAUAUUGGUCAAUGGGCGUAAGCCUGAACCAGCCAAGUCGCGUGAGGGAUGAAGGUUCUAUGGAUCGUAAACCUCUUUUAUAAGGGAAUAAAGUGCGGGACGUGUCCCGUUUUGUAUGUACCUUAUGAAUAAGGAUCGGCUAACUCCGUGCCAGCAGCCGCGGUAAUACGGAGGAUCCGAGCGUUAUCCGGAUUUAUUGGGUUUAAAGGGUGCGUAGGCGGCCUUUUAAGUCAGCGGUGAAAGUCUGUGGCUCAACCAUAGAAUUGCCGUUGAAACUGGGGGGCUUGAGUAUGUUUGAGGCAGGCGGAAUGCGUGGUGUAGCGGUGAAAUGCUUAGAUAUCACGCAGAACCCCGAUUGCGAAGGCAGCCUGCCAAGCCAUGACUGACGCUGAUGCACGAAAGCGUGGGGAUCAAACAGGAUUAGAUACCCUGGUAGUCCACGCAGUAAACGAUGAUCACUAGCUGUUUGCGAUACAGUGUAAGCGGCACAGCGAAAGCGUUAAGUGAUCCACCUGGGGAGUACGCCGGCAACGGUGAAACUCAAAGGAAUUGACGGGGGCCCGCACAAGCGGAGGAACAUGUGGUUUAAUUCGAUGAUACGCGAGGAACCUUACCCGGGUUUGAACGCAUUUCGACCGCUCUGGAAACAGAGCCUCUAGCAAUAGCGAUUUGCGAGGUGCUGCAUGGUUGUCGUCAGCUCGUGCCGUGAGGUGUCGGCUUAAGUGCCAUAACGAGCGCAACCCUUGCCACUAGUUACUAACAGGUGAUGCUGAGGACUCUGGUGGGACUGCCAGCGUAAGCUGCGAGGAAGGCGGGGAUGACGUCAAAUCAGCACGGCCCUUACAUCCGGGGCGACACACGUGUUACAAUGGCGUGGACAAAGGGAAGCCACCUGGCGACAGGGAGCGAAUCCCCAAACCACGUCUCAGUUCGGAUCGGAGUCUGCAACCCGACUCCGUGAAGCUGGAUUCGCUAGUAAUCGCGCAUCAGCCAUGGCGCGGUGAAUACGUUCCCGGGCCUUGUACACACCGCCCGUCAAGCCAUGGGAGCCGGGGGUACCUGAAGUCCGUAACCGCGAGGAUCGGCCUAGGGUAAGACUGGUGACUGGGGGUAAGUCGUAACAAGGUAGCCG